RNAcentral lists this ribosomal RNA (281 nucleotides) under uncultured microorganism. Its description in RNAcentral is "partial 16S ribosomal RNA". It matches the Rfam family "Archaeal small subunit ribosomal RNA", at positions 330 to 618 of the family's 1478-position model. The record is from RNAcentral.
GUGCACCAGGCGAGAAACCUUCACAAUGCCCGAAAGGGCGAUGAGGGGACGCUGAGUGCCCCUUCGGGGCUGUUCGGGUGCCUAAAAAGCACCCGGAGUAAGGGCUGGGUAAGACCGGUGCCAGCCGCCGCGGUAAUACCGGCAGCCCGAGUGGUGGCCGCGUUUAUUGGGCCUAACGGGUCCGUAGCCGGUCGGGUAAGUUCUUCGGGAAACCUCGCCGCUCAACGGUGAGGCUUCCGGGGAAAACUGCCCGACUUGGGACCGGGAAGGGCCGGAGGUAC